This 447-nucleotide ribosomal RNA is filed under the name uncultured bacterium. RNAcentral's name for it is "SSU rRNA". It matches the Rfam family "Bacterial small subunit ribosomal RNA", at positions 26 to 518 of the family's 1533-position model. The record is from RNAcentral.
AGAGCGAACGCUGGCGGCAGGCCUAACACAUGCAAGUCGAGCGCCCGUAGCAAUACAGAGCGGCGCACGGGUGAGUAACACGUGGGAACAUGCCCUUCGGUUCGGAAUAACUCAGGGAAACUUGAGCUAAUACCGGAUACGCCCUUACGGGGAAAGAUUUAUCGCCGAUCGAGUGGCCCGCGUAGGAUUAGCUAGUUGGUGGGGUAAAAGCCUACCAAGGCGACGAUCCUUAGCUGGUUUGAGAGAACGACCAGCCACACUGGGACUGAGACACGGCCCAGACUCCUACGGGAGGCAGCAGUGGGGAAUCUUGGACAAUGGGGGAAACCCUGAUCCAGCCAUGCCGCGUGAGUGAUGAAGGCCCUAGGGUUGUAAAACUCUUUCGCGCACGACGAUAAUGACGGUAGUGCGAGAAGAAGCUCCGGCUAACUUCGUGCCAGCAGCCGC